This 232-nucleotide ribosomal RNA is filed under the name Klebsiella pneumoniae. Its description in RNAcentral is "partial 23S ribosomal RNA". It matches the Rfam family "Bacterial large subunit ribosomal RNA", at positions 2356 to 2587 of the family's 2925-position model. The record is from RNAcentral. Lineage: Bacteria; Pseudomonadati; Pseudomonadota; Gammaproteobacteria; Enterobacterales; Enterobacteriaceae.
GGCAUAAGCUAGCUUUACUGCGAGCGUGACGGCGAGAGCAGGUGCGAAAGCAUGUCAUAGUGAUCCGGUGGUUCUGAAUGGAAGGGCCAUCGCUCAACGGAUAAAAGGUACUCCGGGGAUAACAGGAUGAUACCGCCCAAGAGUUCAUAUCGACGGCGGUGUUUGGCACCUCGAUGUCGGAUCAUCACAUCCUGGGGCUGAAGUAGGUCACAAGGGUAUGUCUGUUCGCCAU